Molecule: ribosomal RNA, 436 nt
Filed under: uncultured bacterium
Lineage: Bacteria
Description: bacterial SSU rRNA
Rfam family: Bacterial small subunit ribosomal RNA
Source: RNAcentral
AACGCGAAGAACCUUACCUGGCCUUGACAUGCUGGUAGUAGAAGCCGGAAACGGUGACGACUCCUCGCAAGAGGAGAGCCAGCACAGGUGCUGCAUGGUUGUCGUCAGCUCGUGUCGUGAGAUGUUGGCUUAAGUGCCGCAACGAGCGCAACCCCUGUGUUUAGUUGCCUGCGAAAGCGGGAUCUCUAAACAGACUGCCUCGCUUUAAACGAGGAGGAAGGUGGGGAUGACGUCAAAUCAGUAUGGCCCUUACGGCCAGGGCUGCACACGUGCUACAAUGCAUGGUACAGAGGGACGCAAGACCGCGAGGUGGAGCAAAUCCCACAAAACCAUGCCCAGUUCAGAUUGAAGGCUGCAACUCGCCUUCAUGAAGCCGGAAUCGCUAGUAAUGGCGCAUCAGCUACGGCGCCGGAAUACGUUCCCGGGUCUGUCACCG